CUGGUGAUACUGGAGAAACUGAAGUACUCUAUUUAUCCACUGGCUAGGUAUGCUGUAAGCUCCUCCAGUGACCUCUACCUGCCCUUGAGGGACUGCCCUCUCCUGAGAUGAUAGGUAAUUCAGUUUUCAUGCUACCCCAGUCCAGGGCUCAC
Molecule: small RNA, 152 nt
Filed under: Sphenodon punctatus (tuatara)
Lineage: Eukaryota; Metazoa; Chordata; Lepidosauria; Sphenodontia; Sphenodontidae
Description: TUC338 (ENSSPUG00000016189.1)
Source: RNAcentral